RNAcentral lists this long non-coding RNA (212 nucleotides) under Mytilus galloprovincialis (Mediterranean mussel). Lineage: Eukaryota; Metazoa; Mollusca; Bivalvia; Mytilida; Mytilidae. The record is from RNAcentral.
CAAAUGGUGAAAAACUUUAUUAAAAUUAUAAGAAAACAUUGGAACAAUCUGCAAAAGAAUACAGUGAAAUUUUUACUCAAGUGUCUAUUAUAGCAUAUAAACGUAACAAAAAUAUAAAAGAUUUACUAGCGAAAUCAGGGAAACUGUUGGAAGACUUUUGAAAAUGGACACAUGUUUAAUUACUGGUAGUAAUGAUCUGAAUUAUAGGCAAC